This 435-nucleotide ribosomal RNA is filed under the name Liquorilactobacillus satsumensis. RNAcentral describes it as "bacterial SSU rRNA". It matches the Rfam family "Bacterial small subunit ribosomal RNA", at positions 915 to 1349 of the family's 1533-position model. Lineage: Bacteria; Bacillati; Bacillota; Bacilli; Lactobacillales; Lactobacillaceae. The record is from RNAcentral.
GGGGGGCNCCGCACAAGCGGNGGAGCAUGUGGUUUAAUUUGAAGCAACGCGAAGAACCUUACCAGGUCUUGACAUCUUUUGCUAACCUGAGAGAUCAGGCGUUCCCUUCGGGGACAAAAUGACAGGUGGUGCAUGGUUGUCGUCAGCUCGUGUCGUGAGAUGUUGGGUUAAGUCCCGCAACGAGCGCAACCCUUAUUACUAGUUGCCAGCAUUUAGUUGGGCACUCUAGUGAGACUGCCGGUGACAAACCGGAGGAAGGUGGGGAUGACGUCAAAUCAUCAUGCCCCUUAUGACCUGGGCUACACACGUGCUACAAUGGACGGUACAACGAGUCGCAAGACCGCGAGGUUUAGCUAAUCUCUUAAAACCGUUCUCAGUUCGGAUUGUAGGCUGCAACUCGCCUACAUGAAGUCGGAAUCGCUAGUAAUCGCGGAU